Molecule: ribosomal RNA, 730 nt
Filed under: uncultured bacterium
Lineage: Bacteria
Description: bacterial SSU rRNA
Rfam family: Bacterial small subunit ribosomal RNA
Source: RNAcentral
UUCGCUGGCGGCAUGCUUACACAUGCAAGUCGAACGGCAGCACGGGAGCAAUCCUGGUGGCGAGUGGCGAACGGGUGAGUAAUGCAUCGGAACAUGUCCAGUAGUGGGGGAUAGCCCGGCGAAAGCCGGAUUAAUACCGCAUACGAUCUACGGAUGAAAGCGGGGGAUCUUCGGACCUCGCGCUAUUGGGGUGGCCGAUGGCGGAUUAGCUGGUUGGUGGGGUAAAGGCCUACCAAGGCGACGACCCGUAGCUGGUCUGAGAGGACGACCAGCCACACUGGGACUGAGACACGGCCCAGACUCCUACGGGAGGCAGCAGUGGGGAAUUUUGGACAAUGGGGGAAACCCUGAUCCAGCAAUGCCGCGUGUGUGAAGAAGGCCUUCGGGUUGUAAAGCACUUUUGUCCGGAAAGAAAUCCUCUGGGUUAAUACCCCGGGGGGAUGACGGUACCGGAAGAAUAAGCACCGGCUAACUACGUGCCAGCAGCCGCGGUAAUACGUAGGGUGCGAGCGUUAAUCGGAAUUACUGGGCGUAAAGCGUGCGCAGGCGGUGAUGUAAGACCGAUGUGAAAUCCCCGGGCUUAACCUGGGAACUGCAUUGGUGACUGCAUCGCUAGAGUAUGGCAAAAGGGGGUAGAAAUUCCACGUGUAGCAAUUGAAAUGCGUAAAGAUGUGGGAGGAAUACCCGAUUGGGCGAAAGGCAGCCCCCCUUGGGGCCAAUACUUGACCCU